Molecule: ribosomal RNA, 492 nt
Filed under: uncultured bacterium
Lineage: Bacteria
Description: partial 16S ribosomal RNA
Rfam family: Bacterial small subunit ribosomal RNA
Source: RNAcentral
AGUGAACGCUGGCGGUAGGCCUAACACAUGCAAGUCGAACGGCAGCACAGUAAGAGCUUGCUCUUACGGGUGGCGAGUGGCGGACGGGUGAGGAAUACAUCGGAAUCUACUUUUUCGUGGGGGAUAACGUUGGGAAACUUACGCUAAUACCGCAUACGACCUACGGGUGAAAGCAGGGGAUCUUCGGACCUUGCGCGAUUGAAUGAGCCGAUGUCGGAUUAGCUAGUUGGCGGGGUAAAGGCCCACCAAGGCGACGAUCCGUAGCUGGUCUGAGAGGAUGAUCAGCCACACUGGAACUGAGACACGGUCCAGACUCCUACGGGAGGCAGCAGUGGGGAAUAUUGGACAAUGGGCGCAAGCCUGAUCCAGCCAUACCGCGUGGGUGAAGAAGGCCUUCGGGUUGUAAAGCCCUUUUGUUGGGAAAGAAAAGCAGCGGGUUAAUACCCCGCUGUUCUGACGGUACCCAAAGAAUAAGCACCGGCUAACUUCGUG